UUAGUAUUUUUAUACAAUCUCCAAAUUAUCCACAUAACCCUAACAUCUCUUUCUUCCAUUUUUCCCUUUUCAUGUUUGGCAUAGCUGCUGAACUUCUUCUUGUUCUUCCAAUUUGAAGUGAAGAUAAACCUUGAAGUAAGUUUUUUCGAUUAUUUUUUUAUUAGCUUUCUUCCUUUUCUCUCGAUUGAUGCCGAUAAUAUGUUGAAAAAUAAAAAUUUAUAUUCCUCUUAUAAAUAAUUUGUGAUAAUAAAGAAAUAUGCGAAUGAUAGACAAUUAUUAUUACCUAUGGAUGAAACUAAAAUAAAUCUUAAAUCGUUCUUUGAUCUAUUCAAAUUAUAUAUCUUUAAAAUCUAUAAUAACUUUAUAUUCCUCUUAUAAAUAAUUUGUGAUGAGAAAGAAAUAUGUGAAUGAUAGCAAAAUAUAAUUAUUUAUGCUGUAAAAUAUAAAUUAAUUAACUUUUAUUAUGUUAACAGCUUUUAAGGGUAUUUCUGACAUUUUGAUUUAAAAAGUUGUUUAUCAGCACUUAUUUGCCAAACACAUCAACAACUUUUUUUAUAACUUCAACAUCCAAACGCAUAACUGCUUAUUUUAAAAAUAAGUUUUAGCACUUCCAAAAGUACUUUUUUAAAGUUGCUUUUAUUAAGCCCAUCCAAACGGGCCCUAAAUUGUGAUAAAGAACAAAUACCUCCUUAGUAAGUUUUCUAACACGUUCUCAUUGCCUUAAAUGUCUCUAGUUAGUUAAAUUAAUAUUUUUUUAAAAUUAAUUUCUUAAAAAACGUUGUCAACCAGAUAAUAACACAUAAUAUUUUCAGAUUUGCAUUUUCAAUCAAAUUUGGAUCAACGUUACAAUUAUUAUUCAUUCCAAAAUUUCACUAUUAUUUUCAGAUUGCUUUCAACGUAUAAGUCAUUUUUCCUAAAAAUUCAACAAUAUUUUUCAUAGCUGUAUAUUUCACUUUGUAUUUUUUAGUAACUUGAUAAAUUUUGGCGUACAAUAUAUGUUUCCAUUUAAAUUAUAAUAUUUAUUUUCGUAUUAAUUUUGUAUUGAAAAUGUAUUGUGUUUGUUUAAUUGCAGUAUUAUAUAGGACAGUGAAUGAUAUAUUAACUGUGUAUGAAGUGUGUAUAAAUUAUAUGAACGGAUUAUAAAUUUAUGUAAUGUUAAAGUUUGAAUUUUUUUUAAUAGUGUAUGAAGAUAAUUCGAAACGUGUAUCAUUUGUGUAUGAAAGUCCAUUUUUUUUUCAAAAUUACAGUAUAUGUUUCUAAUGAAAUUAUAAUAUAUGUUUUUUAUUAAUUUUGUACAGCGGGUAGACCAAAACUUGAAAGAUGAAAGGGGUUUGCUGACGUGAAAUUCAAAAGGACAAAAAUGACUUGCAGUAGAUGCCGUCAAGUUGGACACAAUAGAAAGACAUGUUCAAAUUAUCAUGUGCAAAAAUAAUGAUUUCGUAAUGUUACAUUUGUUAUUGUGUUGUUUUGAAUAUUAGAAACACGUUUUGUUUUAUUGAGUGCAG
This 1505-nucleotide long non-coding RNA is filed under the name Solanum lycopersicum (tomato). RNAcentral describes it as "long non-coding RNA (SLYC_LNC000685)". The record is from RNAcentral. Lineage: Eukaryota; Viridiplantae; Streptophyta; Magnoliopsida; Solanales; Solanaceae.